GGUGAGUAACACGUGGAUAACCUGCCUGUACACCUGGGAUAAUCCCUCGAAAGGGGGCUUAAUACCGGAUAACAUCCUUGGAUGGCAUCAUCCGAGGUUCAAAGACGGGGUAACCUGUCAUGUACAGAUGGAUCCGCGCCCCAUUAGCUUGUUGGCGGGGUAACGGCCCACCAAGGCUACGAUGGGUAGCCGGCCUGAGAGGGUGAUCGGCCACACUGGGACUGAGAUACGGCCCAGACUCCUACGGGAGGCAGCAGUAGGGAAUAUUGCGCAAUGGACGAAAGUCUGACGCAGCAACGCCGCGUGGGUGAUGAAGCAUUUCGGUGUGUAAAACCCUGUCAGCGGGGAAGAAAAGUACGUGGAGUAACUGCCAUGUGCCUGACGGUACCUGCAGAGGAAGUCCCGGCUAACUCCGUGCCAGCAGCCGCGGUAAUACGGGGGGACGAGCGUUGUUCGGAUUUACUGGGCGUAAAGGGCGCGUAGGCGGGCCUUCAAGUCGGAUGUGAAACCUGGCGGCUUAACCACCAGCCUGCAUUCGAUACUGUUGGUCUUGAGUACGGGAGAGGAGAAUAGAAUUCCAGGUGUAGCGGUGAAAUGCGUAGAUAUCUGGAAGAACACCAGUAGCGAAGGCGGUUCUCUGGACUGAUACUGACGCUAAAGCGCGAAGGCUUGGGGAGCAAACAGGAUUAGAUACCCUGCUAGUCCAAGCGGUAAACUAUGGGUACUAGGUGUCGGAGGUAUCGACCCCAUCCCGGUGCCUGCAGCUUAACGCAGUAAGGUACCCCAGCCUGGGGAGUACGAUCGCAAGGAUU
This 812-nucleotide ribosomal RNA is filed under the name uncultured bacterium. RNAcentral's name for it is "bacterial SSU rRNA". It matches the Rfam family "Bacterial small subunit ribosomal RNA", at positions 105 to 896 of the family's 1533-position model. The record is from RNAcentral.